GCUCUGGCGGCCGGGGCGGCUGCCGGCCUCCGCGGGCUCGCGGGGCGGGGAAGGGGGGGUCGGGCUGCAGGAGGAGGCGCCCGGACCCCGGAGCAGAGCCCGGACAAUACAAGCGCCUCGGAGCGACUCCCCGAACCUGCCCUAGCCAAAAUGGCGGCCGAGAAAGAGCGGAAGUGACUUGAAAAAGAAGAAACUGUUUCAAAUACUGGGACAACAGAGUUGAUAGAUGAUGAAGCACAACAUAAACUCAAUAACAAGAAAGAAGUAAUUAUCAGGGCUUCCCAGGUGGCGCUAAUGGGAAAGAACUGGCUUCCCAACGCAGGAGAUGAGGGUUCGAUCCCUGGGUCGCGAAGAUCUCUGGAAGAGGGCAUGGCAACCCCCUCCAAUAUUCUUGCCUAGAGAACCCCGUGCACAGAGGAGCCUGGUGGGCUAUGGCCCAUAGGGUCGCAAGGAGUCGGACACGACUGAAAUGACUGAGCAUGCCCACAUGCAUUCCAUCAAAGGUCAGAAGAAUCAACAUUUAAUGGAUAGAAGCAUACACACAGUAAUAUGAUAUAUUAACUAAUGCAUGGAGUCUGGACCUUAAAGUAGAUGAAGAGACAUUUUAGUUUCAGAAAUUAAAAUCCCAAGGACCUAGCAGGAGGCUUUGCACCAUUUAGACAAAAAGUUAUGUUCUGAAUGAACAGUUAGUGGUCACCUCAGGCCUCUCAAGGGCUGAGCGGUGAUA
This is a long non-coding RNA of Dama dama (fallow deer), 727 nucleotides long. RefSeq lists it as uncharacterized. The transcript is spliced from 4 exons. The record is from RefSeq and is a predicted model, not a curated record. NCBI's taxonomy places the organism in Eukaryota, Metazoa, Chordata, Mammalia, Artiodactyla, Cervidae.